CAGGACUCGCAAGACUCCUAUAACCCUGUGAACCUACUGUAAAUACGUUGCUUCGGCGGGUGCUCUCCGGGAUUCGUCCCGGGGCGCGUCAGCCCGCCGGCAGCCUACAAAUUCUGUUUCUUUGCGUUGGCAUCUCGAGUAAAUCAAAUAAGUUA
RNAcentral lists this unclassified non-coding RNA (155 nucleotides) under uncultured Chloridium. Its description in RNAcentral is "sequence contains ITS1". The record is from RNAcentral. Lineage: Eukaryota; Fungi; Ascomycota; Sordariomycetes; Chaetosphaeriales; Chaetosphaeriaceae.